GACGAACGCUGGCGGCGUGCUUAACACAUGCAAGUCGAACGGAAAGGCCCUGCUUUUGUGGGGUGCUCGAGUGGCGAACGGGUGAGUAACACGUGAGUAACCUGCCCUUGACUUUGGGAUAACUUCAGGAAACUGGGGCUAAUACCGGAUAGGAGCUCCUGCUGCAUGGUGGGGGUUGGAAAGUUUCGGCGGUUGGGGAUGGACUCGCGGCUUAUCAGCUUGUUGGUGGGGUAGUGGCUUACCAAGGCUUUGACGGGUAGCCGGCCUGAGAGGGUGACCGGACACAUUGGGACUGAGAUACGGGCCAGACUCCUACGGGAGGAAGCAGUGGGGAAUAUUGCACAAUGGGCGGAAGCCUGCUGCAGCAACGCAGCGUGCGGGAUGACGGCCUUCGGGUUGUAAACCGCAUUCGCCUGUGACGAAGCGUGAGUGACGGUAAUGGGUAAAGAAGCACCGGCUAACUACGUG
This 468-nucleotide ribosomal RNA is filed under the name uncultured bacterium. RNAcentral describes it as "partial 16S ribosomal RNA". It matches the Rfam family "Bacterial small subunit ribosomal RNA", at positions 28 to 507 of the family's 1533-position model. The record is from RNAcentral.